RNAcentral lists this transfer RNA (66 nucleotides) under Robertsicus elaphensis. RNAcentral's name for it is "tRNA-Ser". Lineage: Eukaryota; Metazoa; Arthropoda; Arachnida; Ixodida; Ixodidae. The record is from RNAcentral.
GACUUUUUAACUAUAAAUAAGUAUAUAUUUUGAAAAUAUAUUAAAGAAAAAAUUUUCUAUGAGUCU